GAUGAACGCUAGCGGCAGGCCUAAUACAUGCAAGUCGAACGGUAAGGCCCUUUCGGGGGUACACGAGUGGCGGACGGGUGCGUAACGCGUAUGCAACAUGCCUUCCAGCGGGGGAUAUACCAGGGAAACUUGGCGCAAUACCCCAUAGAAUUACGGGACCGCAUGGUCUUGUGAUUAAAACUCCGGUGCUGGGAGAUUGGCAUGCGUGACAUUAGCUAGUUGGCGGGGUAACGCCCACCAAGGCGACGAUGUCUAGCUGGUCUGAGAGGAUGAUCAGCCACACUGGGACUGAGACACGGCCCAGACUCCUACGGGAGGCAGCAGUAGGGAAUAUUGGACAAUGGGGGGAACCCUGAUCCAGCCAUGCCGCGUGUGUGAAGAAGGCCCUGGGUUGUAAAGUACACUUUAAGACGAGGAGGAAGGUUUUAGUUUAAGUU
Molecule: ribosomal RNA, 437 nt
Filed under: uncultured bacterium
Lineage: Bacteria
Description: bacterial SSU rRNA
Rfam family: Bacterial small subunit ribosomal RNA
Source: RNAcentral